CUUUGUUACCAGUCCUCAGCCAGAAAAUGCUAUAGUGCAAGCAAGGCCCUGGAUGGGUUUGUAAGAUACAAGCAACCUGUCUGUGAGAAUUAUCUUAUGAAGAUGACCAUGUUUCUUCUAAUGCAGCCCAUUCAGGUUUUUAUGGUACCCAGAUGGAAGACUGUCCAAGGAACUGGGAAAGAUGAAGGAGGUGGUGGACAGAAGAUUCAGUCUGAAAAAUACCCUGCUAGUGAGAAAAUGGGAUUUUGAUACUUUCAAAUUCUGAUAAAACCGUAUUUGGUAAUUUUCUAGUUUUGAAGUACAUUCAUCAUUGUAGCAGAAGGUACCUUGCCAUUACAUGUUAACUUAACAGAAGAUACAAG
Oxyura jamaicensis (ruddy duck) is the source of this 362-nucleotide long non-coding RNA. RefSeq lists it as uncharacterized. Lineage: Eukaryota; Metazoa; Chordata; Aves; Anseriformes; Anatidae. The record is from RefSeq and is a predicted model, not a curated record. The transcript is spliced from 3 exons.